Molecule: ribosomal RNA, 253 nt
Filed under: uncultured bacterium
Lineage: Bacteria
Description: partial 16S ribosomal RNA
Rfam family: Bacterial small subunit ribosomal RNA
Source: RNAcentral
UACGGGGGGGGCAAGCGUUGUUCGGAAUUACUGGGCGUAAAGGGCUCGUAGGCGGCCAACUAAGUCGGACGUGAAAUCCCCAGGCUCAACCUGGGAACUGCGUCCGAUACUGGAUGGCUUGAAUCCGGGAGAGGGAUGCAGAAUUCCACGUGUAGCAGUGAAAUGCGUAGAGAUGUGGAGGAACACCGAUGGCGAAGGCAGCCUCCUGGGCCAGCACUGACGCUCAUGCACGAAAGCGUGGGGAGCAAACAGG